CAUUCGGACAGCAAGCUCCCCGACGCCCAGGCCGCCUACGAGUUUUCGCUCACUGCCGCAGUGGCGGCUCUGGCCGGAGCAAAUAUCGUUUACGGCGCCG
This is a regulatory RNA element of Thermacetogenium phaeum DSM 12270, 100 nucleotides long. It matches the Rfam family "Pyrrolysine insertion sequence mttB". The record is from Rfam. NCBI's taxonomy places the organism in Bacteria, Bacillati, Bacillota, Clostridia, Thermoanaerobacterales, Thermoanaerobacteraceae.